CAGAGGAGAUCGCGAGACAAGUUGGAAUAGCAACUUCCAAAGGGACAGGCGGGGAACCAAACCUUCGUCAUCAGGUUUCUGGCAGAUAGUUUCUCACCGAAUAGUUUCUGAUUAAACUGCUUAUGGAGACUAUGGAGGACCAUGUUCACGGUUCAAAGCAGGAGGAGAAGGAAGGAAGUGCCAGGAGGCGUAGGCUAAAUACACCAUUAACGUCUGGGAACCUUUCUAACACAAUGCCGCCCCCUGUCGGAAGAUCCCCGCUUACGCUACUUAAAGGAAGUAAUUUCUCAAAUAAUACUCA
This is a long non-coding RNA of Phycodurus eques (leafy seadragon), 301 nucleotides long. RefSeq lists it as uncharacterized. The transcript has 3 exons. NCBI's taxonomy places the organism in Eukaryota, Metazoa, Chordata, Actinopteri, Syngnathiformes, Syngnathidae. The record is from RefSeq and is a predicted model, not a curated record.